GAUGAAUGCUGGCGGCGUGCCUAAUACAUGCAAGUCGAGCGGACGGACGAGAAUCUUGCUUCUCUGAUGUUAGCGGCGGACGGGUGAGUAACACGUGUAUAACCUACCUAUAAUACUGGUAUAACUUCGGGAAACCGGCUCUAAUACCGUAUAAUCUUUUGCACCGCAUGGUUCAAAAGUGAAUGACGGCCUUGCUGUCACUUAUAGAUGGAUCUGCGCUGUAUUAGCUAGUUGGUAAGGUAACGGCUUAUCAAGGCAACGAUGCAUAGCCGACGUGAGAGAGUGGUCGGCCACAUUGGAACGGAGACACGGUCAAGACGCCUAAGGGAGGCAGCAGUAGGGAAUGGGACGCAAUAGGCGAGAGCAUGACGGAGCAACGGCACGUGAGUGAUGAAAAUCUUCGGAGCGUGAAGAUGUGUUAUUAGGGAAGAACAUAUGUGGAAGGAGAUGAACAGAUCUUGACGGUACCUAAUAAAGAAGCAACGGCUAACUACGUG
Molecule: ribosomal RNA, 497 nt
Filed under: uncultured bacterium
Lineage: Bacteria
Description: partial 16S ribosomal RNA
Rfam family: Bacterial small subunit ribosomal RNA
Source: RNAcentral